GACGAACGCUGGCGGCGCGCUUAACACAUGCAAGUCGAGCGAGAACCAGGCCUUCGGCCUGGGAAAGCGGCGAACGGGUGAGUAACACGUGGGUAACCCACCCUUGGUACCGGGAUAGCCCGAGGAAACUCGGAUUAAUACCGGAUGGCCCAACAGCUUUUCGGGGCGGUUGGAAAGGUAGCUUCGGCCUCCGACCAAGGACGGGCCCGCGGCGGAUUAGCUUGUUGGUGAGGUAACGGCUCACCAAGGCGACGAUCCGUAGCUGGCUGAGAGGACGAUCAGCCACACUGGGACUGAGACACGGCCCAGACUCCUACGGGAGGCAGCAGUGGGGAAUCUUGCGCAAU
Molecule: ribosomal RNA, 347 nt
Filed under: uncultured bacterium
Lineage: Bacteria
Description: bacterial SSU rRNA
Rfam family: Bacterial small subunit ribosomal RNA
Source: RNAcentral